Molecule: transfer RNA, 88 nt
Filed under: bacterium
Lineage: Bacteria
Description: tRNA-Leu
Rfam family: tRNA
About the family: Transfer RNA (tRNA) molecules are approximately 80 nucleotides in length.
Source: RNAcentral
GCCGGGAUGGCGAAACUGGUAUACGCAGGGGACUUAAAAUCCCCCGGAGCGUUGCUCCUUGCCGGUUCGAGUCCGGCUCCCGGCACCA